This 199-nucleotide ribosomal RNA is filed under the name uncultured bacterium. RNAcentral's name for it is "partial 16S ribosomal RNA". It matches the Rfam family "Bacterial small subunit ribosomal RNA", at positions 335 to 526 of the family's 1533-position model. RNAcentral also lists the same sequence under 1 other name. The record is from RNAcentral.
ACUCCUACGGGAGGCAGCAGUAGGGAAUCUUCCACAAUGGACGCAAGUCUGAUGGAGCAACGCCGCGUGAGUGAAGAAGGUUUUCGGAUCGUAAAGCUCUGUUGUUGGUGAAGAAGGAUAGAGGUAGUAACUGGCCUUUAUUUGACGGUAAUCAACCAGAAAGUCACGGCUAACUACGUGCCAGCAGCCGCGGUAAUAC